AGCGAACGCUGGCGGCAGGCCUAACACAUGCAAGCCGAACGAACUCUUCGGAGUUAGUGGCGGACGGGUGAGUAACACGUGGGAACGUGCCUUUUGGUUCGGAAUAACUCAGGGAAACUUGUGCUAAUACCGAAUGUGCCCUUCGGGGGAAAGAUUUAUCGCCAUUAGAGCGGCCCGCGUCUGAUUAGCUAGUUGGUGAGGUAACGGCUCACCAAGGCGACGAUCAGUAGCUGGUCUGAGAGGAUGACCAGCCACACUGGGACUGAGACACGGCCCAGACUCCUACGGGAGGCAGCAGUGGGGAAUCUUGCGCAAUGGGCGAAAGCCUGACGCAGCCAUGCCGCGUGAAUGAUGAAGGUCUUAGGAUUGUAAAAUUCUUUCACCGGGGACGAUAAUGACGGUACCCGGAGAAGAAGCCCCGGCUAACUUGGUG
This 433-nucleotide ribosomal RNA is filed under the name uncultured bacterium. RNAcentral's name for it is "partial 16S ribosomal RNA". It matches the Rfam family "Bacterial small subunit ribosomal RNA", at positions 29 to 507 of the family's 1533-position model. The record is from RNAcentral.